GACGAACGCUGGCGGCGUGCUUAACACAUGCAAGUCGAACGGAAAGGCCCUGCUUUUGUGGGGUGCUCGAGUGGCGAACGGGUGAGUAACACGUGAGUAACCUGCCCUUGACUUUGGGAUAACUUCAGGAAACUGGGGCUAAUACCGGAUAGGAGCUCCUGCUGCAUGGUGGGGGUUGGAAAGUUUCGGCGGUUGGGGAUGGACUCGCGGCUUAUCAGCUUGUUGGUGGGGUAGUGGCUUACCAAGGCUUUGACGGGUAGCCGGCCUGAGAGGGUGACCGGCUACAUUGGGACUGAGAUACGGCCCAGACUCCUACGGGAGGCAGCAGUGGGGAAUAUUGCACAAUGGGCGGAAGCCUGGUGCAGCAACGCCGCGUGCGGGAUGACGGCCUUCGGGUUGUAAACCGCUUUCGCCUGUGACGAAGCGUGAGUGACGGUAAUGGGUAAAGAAGCACCGGCUAACUACGUG
This 468-nucleotide ribosomal RNA is filed under the name uncultured bacterium. RNAcentral's name for it is "partial 16S ribosomal RNA". It matches the Rfam family "Bacterial small subunit ribosomal RNA", at positions 28 to 507 of the family's 1533-position model. The record is from RNAcentral.